Molecule: ribosomal RNA, 326 nt
Filed under: uncultured eukaryote
Lineage: Eukaryota
Description: partial 18S ribosomal RNA
Rfam family: Eukaryotic small subunit ribosomal RNA
Source: RNAcentral
CCCUUAGAUGUCCUGGGCCGCACGCGCGCUACACUGAACGGAUCAGCGCGUUUUCCCUUCCCGAGAGGGACGGGUAACCUGCUGAACCCCGUUCGGGGUAGGGAUCGGGGCUUGCAAUUAUUCCCCGUGAACCAGGAAUGCCCAGUAAGUGCAAGUCAUAAGCUUGCGUUGAUUACGUCCCUGCCCUUUGUACACACCGCCCGUCGCUACUACCGAUUGAACGUUUUAGUGAGGUACUCGGACUGAGCCUCAGAAGAUUCACGUCUUUUGUGCUGCUCGGGAAGAUUCCCAAACUUGAGCGUUUAGAGGAAGUAAAAGUCGUAACA